Molecule: long non-coding RNA, 804 nt
Organism: Leptopilina boulardi
Lineage: Eukaryota; Metazoa; Arthropoda; Insecta; Hymenoptera; Figitidae
Exons: 3
Source: RefSeq, a predicted model, not a curated record
UACAGGCCUCGACUUCAUUUAAACAGGUUCUUAUAAGAAUCCAGUUUUUACAAACUCUUCCAAAAACUUUAAUCUCGUGUGUGUGUUUUUUUUUAUUUACAUAUAUAUAUGUAUAAAGAAACAAAUUUUUUUAAGACUUGUGAUAUCUUAAAUUAAUUUUUCAUUAAAAAAUUUAUUCUAAAUACAAAAAAAUAGAAUCGUCAAAACAAACCAAAAAUUAGUAACUUAAAAAUUGUAAAUUGAUAUAAUUAAAUUUUCACAAUUAGUUAAAAUUUAAAAAUUAAAAAAAAAAUAAUUUUUUUUCGCACGAAAAAAAGAAAUUUUAUAAUAUUAUAAAUUUUAAAAUACUGACUAAAAAAUAAGUUAGUAAAAUGUAAAUUUAACUGUCGAUGCGCGCAAAAAUAAUAAAUUUAUGUGACAUGAAAUUUAAUUGCAAUAAAACAAGGAAAUACAAUGUUGAAAAAAAUUUUGAUGAAAUAAAAGCCUUUAUACGGAGACUCGCUUCUAAGGUUUCAAGAGUACAAUAAUUAAACAAGCAAAAGGUUUUUUUUUUCUCCAUGUCUGUGGGGGUUUUGUUUCCCUACAACAUAUGUAUAUGUGUAUACUAAAAACGCACGUUAAGGGUUUUAAAAGGUGUCUCGUGCAACAUACGGAUCGAUAUAAUUCUGCCAGAAGGGAAAGGAUAGUUUCACCUCCAAGUUAUAUACAAGAUGCAGAACCAAAUUAAUUAUAAUUUAAAAGUUUUGGUAAGUUUAAUUUUCAUUUAAACGAACUUUAAUUUAACUAAAUUUUCAUUUACCUACC